Temnothorax curvispinosus is the source of this 1364-nucleotide RNA transcript. It is a transcript of the gene named zinc finger CCHC domain-containing protein 13-like, with no coding region annotated. The record is from RefSeq and is a predicted model, not a curated record. The transcript has 2 exons. Lineage: Eukaryota; Metazoa; Arthropoda; Insecta; Hymenoptera; Formicidae.
UAUGCAUUCAGAGAAAAUAAAAAUAGUAAUUUCAAAAUUCCGUAUAGAAGCAAAAGAUAAAAAGGAGAUGGAAAGAAGAGGUGCAAUCCCGAAAAAGAACUUGCCUAAAGUCAGAGAGAAUAUAGAUGUGACCAAAGCAUGGGAAGAGAACCGUCCAGUACUGCCAAUUGGAACCAAAAUAUUAUAUGAAAAGCAAGAAAAAUUGGUCGAAAAAAUGGACAAUUCGAUGCAGGUGCUGGAUAAAGUAAUGACGAAGGCCACCGAGAUGAUGGAGAAUAUGGUGGAAGUCUCCCGUUUAAACUUAGAGAAAGAAAAAGUUAAACUUAGACGUUUAGAGGUAAGCAAUAAAGAUACCCAAAGUUCAGUAGAAAACAGGAAACAAACGGUUAAAGAACUAGAGGUAGAGUCUAAAAAGAGAAAAUUAAAUGAAAUAACAGUCUGUUCAGCCGAAAAAGAUAGAAGUUUAGAGACAAUGAAAAGAGCUAUAGAAUUGGAAUUGAACAGUCAAAGGUUGCAUAUUAGAAGAGAAUAUAAGCUGACGCAAAAAUCCAAUUUUGAUCUUUGGAUGGAUUAUUUAAAAUCUGAGUUAAUGAAUAACGAGUUGUUAGAUGUAAUAGAUUCAAACAUUGAAAGUCCAGAAUAUCUCUCCGAACUAAAAGUUGCUAAGAGAAAAAGUCUAGUUAGAGAUAUAAUAAUCAAUCAUUUAGAUGAAAACUAUCAUAAAAGGAUUCUACAUGAAAAAGAUCCGAAAGAAAUUUUGAAGAAAUUGAGAGGAUAUAAAAAGAGUGAAGUAAACGUUACUCAUGCAUCGGUACGAGCUAAACUCUAUCAAAUUAAAAUGAGAAAAGACGAAAAAGUAAGUGAUUUUUGUGAACGCUUCGAUUCAAUAAUUAGAGAAUAUGAAUCAUGUGAAGAUGCGGUACCCCUCGCAGAACAAGAGAUUAGAUCUGCACUUUAUCAGGCUGUGUCAAUUAAUGUACCAGAGCUGAGGAAUGUAGAUUUAAUUAGAAGACAAACUAAUCUUAAAGAAAUGAACAUAGAUGAAAUAAAGUCUUUUAUGAUGCAGUUAGAAGCAGAGACUAAAAACGAGAAUAAAGAAAGUUAGAGAAACCCGAAGUCAGGGUACAGAGGGCUGCUGCAGAAGAGAACAUGAAACAAGUGAAAUGCUACAGAUGCAACCGAAUGGGUCAUAUGGCAAAGGACUGUCCACUAAUAGAAUUUGGUGCCUGGUUUUGUUACUUCUGCCAGGAAGUACGAGGUCACAAGGGUGAUAAUUGUCCGAGUGCCGAAGCCCAGGCGAACAGAGCUAGAGGAAAAAGAUAAAGAGGAAACUUAGAGAGGACCCGUGGAUCGCUCGCCCAAAG